RNAcentral lists this ribosomal RNA (465 nucleotides) under Vreelandella stevensii. RNAcentral describes it as "partial 16S ribosomal RNA". It matches the Rfam family "Bacterial small subunit ribosomal RNA", at positions 338 to 795 of the family's 1533-position model. Lineage: Bacteria; Pseudomonadati; Pseudomonadota; Gammaproteobacteria; Oceanospirillales; Halomonadaceae. The record is from RNAcentral.
CCUACGGGAGGCUGCAGUGGGGAAUAUUGGACAAUGGGCGAAAGCCUGAUCCAGCCAUGCCGCGUGUGUGAAGAAGGCCUUCGGGUUGUAAAGCACUUUCAGUGGGGAAGAAAGCCUUGGGGCUAAUACCCUCGAGGAAGGACAUCACCCACAGAAGAAGCACCGGCUAACUCCGUGCCAGCAGCCGCGGUAAUACGGAGGGUGCGAGCGUUGAAUCGGAAUUACUGGGCGUAAAGCGCGCGUAGGCGGUCUGAUAAGCCGGUUGUGAAAGCCCCGGGCUCAACCUGGGAACGGCAUCCGGAACUGUCAGGCUAGAGUGCAGGAGAGGAAGGUAGAAUUCCCGGUGUAGCGGUGAAAUGCGUAGAGAUCGGGAGGAAUACCAGUGGCGAAGGCGGCCUUCUGGACUGACACUGACGCUGAGGUGCGAAAGCGUGGGUAGCAAACAGGAUUAGAUACCCUAGUGUC